RNAcentral lists this ribosomal RNA (513 nucleotides) under Philodryas patagoniensis. RNAcentral describes it as "partial large subunit ribosomal RNA". It matches the Rfam family "Bacterial large subunit ribosomal RNA", at positions 1824 to 2606 of the family's 2925-position model. The record is from RNAcentral. Lineage: Eukaryota; Metazoa; Chordata; Lepidosauria; Squamata; Dipsadidae.
AGCCACAAACAAGUAUUAAAGGCAACGCCUGCCCAGUGAAUAAUUAAACGGCCGCGGUACCCUAACCGUGCAAAGGUAGCAUAAUCAUUUGUCUAUUAAUUGUAGACCUGUAUGAAAGGCAAAAUGAGGGUUUAACUGUCUCUUAUAGUAAAUCAAUUAAACUGAUCUUCUAGUAAAAAAGCUAAAAUAUCCUCAUAAGACCAGAAGACCCUGUGAAGCUUAAACUAAAUUAUUAAAUCCCAUAAUAACUACUUUCGGUUGGGGCGACCUUGGAAAAAAAAAGAACUUCCAAACACAGUGACUAUAAACCACAUUACACGGCCCACAAGCCUAUAAACUGACCCAGCAUAGCUGAUAAUUGAACCAAGUUACUCCAGGGAUAACAGCGCCAUCUUCUUCAAGAGUCCAUAUCAAAAAGAAGGUUUACGACCUCGAUGUUGGAUCAGGACAUCCUAAUGGUGCAGCCGCUAUUAAGGGUUCGUUUGUUCAACGAUUAACAGUCCUACGUGAUCU